AUGGACGGCGCUCCGGUGGCCGAGUUCCGGCCGACGAUGACGCACGGCGGCCGCUUCCUCCUCUACAACAUAUUCGGCAACCAGUUCGAGAUCACGGCCAAGUACCAGCCGCCGAUCAUGCCCAUCGGCCGCGGCGCCUACGGGAUCGUCUGCUCGGUGAUGAACUUCGAGACGAGGGAGAUGGUGGCAAUCAAGAAGAUCGCAAACGCUUUCGACAACAACAUGGACGCCAAGCGCACGCUCCGGGAGAUCAAGCUCCUGAGGCACCUCGACCACGAGAACAUAGUAGGCCUCCGAGAUGUGAUCCCGCCGGCGACCCCGCAGUCCUUCAACGACGUCUACAUCGCCACCGAGCUCAUGGACACGGACCUCCACCACAUCAUCCGCUCCAACCAAGAACUCUCGGAAGAACACUGCCAGUACUUCCUGUACCAGCUGCUGCGCGGCCUCAAGUACAUCCACUCGGCGAACGUGAUCCACCGCGACCUCAAGCCGAGCAACCUGCUGCUGAACGCCAACUGCGACCUCAAGAUCUGCGACUUCGGCCUGGCGCGGCCGUCGUCCGAGAGCGACAUGAUGACGGAGUACGUGGUCACGCGGUGGUACCGGGCCCCGGAGCUGCUGCUCAACUCCACCGACUACUCCGCGGCCAUCGACGUCUGGUCCGUCGGCUGCAUCUUCAUGGAGCUCAUCAACCGCGCGCCGCUCUUCCCGGGGAGGGACCACAUGCACCAGAUGCGGCUCAUCACGGAGGUGAUCGGCACCCCCACCGACGACGACCUGGGCUUCAUCCGGAACGAGGACGCCAGGAGGUACAUGAGGCACCUGCCGCAGUUCCCUCGCCGGUCCUUCCCGGGACAGUUCCCCAAGGUGCAGCCCGCCGCGCUGGACCUCAUCGAGAGGAUGCUCACCUUCAACCCGCUGCAGAGGAUCACAGUUGAAGAGGCGCUGGAGCACCCAUACCUAGAGCGGCUUCACGACGUCGCCGACGAGCCCAUCUGCACGGACCCCUUCUCCUUCGACUUCGAACAGCACCCACUGACGGAAGACCAGAUGAAGCAGCUCAUAUUCAACGAAGCCCUGGAGUUGAACCCCAACUUCCGAUACUAG
Molecule: ribosomal RNA, 1110 nt
Filed under: Triticum aestivum (bread wheat)
Lineage: Eukaryota; Viridiplantae; Streptophyta; Magnoliopsida; Poales; Poaceae
Description: partial small subunit ribosomal RNA
Source: RNAcentral